This 490-nucleotide ribosomal RNA is filed under the name uncultured bacterium. Its description in RNAcentral is "partial 16S ribosomal RNA". It matches the Rfam family "Bacterial small subunit ribosomal RNA", at positions 30 to 507 of the family's 1533-position model. The record is from RNAcentral.
AUUGAACGCUGGCGGCAGGCCUAACACAUGCAAGUCGAACGGUAACAGGAAGCAGCUUGCUGCUUCGCUGACGAGUGGCGGACGGGUGAGUAAUGUCUGGGAAGCUGCCUGAUGGAGGGGGAUAACUACUGGAAACGGUAGCUAAUACCGCAUAAUGUCGCAAGCCCAAAGAGGGGGACCUUCGGGCCUCUUGCCAUCGGAUGUGCCCAGAUGGGAUUAGCUUGUUGGGGGGGUAACGGCUCACCAAGGCGACGAUCCCUAGCUGGUCUGAGAGGAUGACCAGCCACACUGGAACUGAGACACGGUCCAGACUCCUACGGGAGGCAGCAGUGGGGAAUAUUGCACAAUGGGCGCAAGCCUGAUGCAGCCAUGCCGCGUGUAUGAAGAAGGCCUUCGGGUUGUAAAGUACUUUCAGCGGGGAGGAAGGGAGUAAAGUUAAUACCUUUGCUCAUUGACGUUACCCGCAGAAGAAGCACCGGCUAACUCCGUG